AAACUUUCAACAACGGAUCUCUUGGUUCUGGCAUCGAUGAAGAACGCAGCGAAAUGCGAUACGUAGUGUGAAUUGCAGAAUUUAGUGAAUCAUCGAAUCUUUGAACGCACAUUGCGCCCACCAGUAUUCUGGUGGGCAUGCCUGUUCGAGCGUCAUUU
RNAcentral lists this ribosomal RNA (158 nucleotides) under Rosellinia australiensis. RNAcentral describes it as "5.8S ribosomal RNA". It matches the Rfam family "5.8S ribosomal RNA". From Rfam's summary of the family: 5.8S ribosomal RNA (5.8S rRNA) is a component of the large subunit of the eukaryotic ribosome. It is transcribed by RNA polymerase I as part of the 45S precursor that also contains 18S and 28S rRNA. Functionally, it is thought that 5.8S rRNA may be involved in ribosome translocation. Lineage: Eukaryota; Fungi; Ascomycota; Sordariomycetes; Xylariales; Xylariaceae. The record is from RNAcentral.